Molecule: small nucleolar RNA, 120 nt
Organism: Nymphaea colorata (pocket water lily)
Lineage: Eukaryota; Viridiplantae; Streptophyta; Magnoliopsida; Nymphaeales; Nymphaeaceae
Source: RefSeq, a predicted model, not a curated record
AUCCCAGCCAAACAUUGUAUGUUUGUCUGAUUCAUGGGAGGCAAAAAAUGAUGUUGGAAGUUUCGCUGAUAGCAUCAUUUCAUUUACUGGGGAUGCUUCAUAGUAGCUCACCAUACAUCU